CCAGCACCUUGCCUUCUGCCUCCCAGAGGUGGCCAGUUUGUACUGGUAUGGCUGCACUGGCUACUCAAAUAUUAAUUUUUCUGUACUGACUGGUAAAAGCUGAUGCUUCUAGUACCACCUGGGCACUCCCUGCCGCCCCCAGAACCCCUCAGACUUCCUCUUGAUCCAGCACCUAAAUGGUUAAUCUCCAGCACAGCUAUUGGCAUCAGUUCUGUGGUUAAAUAUUUUGGUAUCAC
Molecule: long non-coding RNA, 236 nt
Filed under: Homo sapiens (human)
Lineage: Eukaryota; Metazoa; Chordata; Mammalia; Primates; Hominidae
Description: HSALNT0176243
Source: RNAcentral